RNAcentral lists this ribosomal RNA (441 nucleotides) under uncultured bacterium. RNAcentral's name for it is "partial 16S ribosomal RNA". It matches the Rfam family "Bacterial small subunit ribosomal RNA", at positions 28 to 507 of the family's 1533-position model. The record is from RNAcentral.
GAUGAACGCUGGCGGCGUGCCUAAUACAUGCAAGUCGAACGGGGAGUAGCAAUACUCUUAGUGGCGAACGGGUGAGUAACGCGUUGGUACCUGCCCCGAAGCGGGGGAUAACGGACCGAAAGGUCCGCUAAUACCCCAUGUGCUCGGUAACGAGUAAAGGUGAAAACCACUUUGGGAGGGGCAUGCGUCCCAUCAGCUAGUUGGUAAGGUAACGGCUUACCAAGGCGGUGACGGGUAGGGGACCUGAGAGGGUGGCCCCCCACAAUGGAACUGAAACACGGUCCAUACACCUACGGGUGGCAGCAGUAGGGAAUAUUGGUAAUGGGCGCAAGCCUGGACCAGCAACGCCGCGUGUGCGAUGACGGCCUUCGGGUUGUAAAGCACUUUUGACUGGGACGAGGAAGGACGGUACCGGUCGAAUCAGCCUCGGCUAACUACGUG